Molecule: long non-coding RNA, 529 nt
Organism: Amphimedon queenslandica
Lineage: Eukaryota; Metazoa; Porifera; Demospongiae; Haplosclerida; Niphatidae
Exons: 3
Source: RefSeq, a predicted model, not a curated record
CUAGUGUUAGUAAUAAUCUCCCUAUCAGUGGAGAUGGAGCUGUCAUUACAGUACCUCUAGGCUCCUAUUUAUACUACAGCAACAUUUACUUGUAAAGGAACUUGAGAUAUACUGAACUGGCUGGUAUGAGGUGAUGUACUAACUGACUUCAAUAAACAAGAAAGACAAAUAACAGUUACUACCACCAGCUACCACUAAUGCUGUUAAUAAUACUAACUUCUCAUCAGUACUGACAGUUAAUGCUAUACCUUCUUGUAUUGAUGGACUGGCAUUUAGCUGUGAAGUUAUUUCUUUCAGUCCAUAUGAACGUGCUAUAUCAAGUGAUGUACUAAUUGUCAGAGGUAUCACCGGUGGAAGAUAUUCAGUAUAGUUUUAGAAGACUAACAAUGAACACCUUGCUCAGUUUGGAGCUGCAUGGCCGGAGGAGAUGAGGACACUGAGUUUUGUUGGUAUAGCACAAGUGAUCAGUAAUGAACAGAAGACUUGAUUAAAAAGAACCAUAAAAUCAUGAUGGAGGGUAUCAGUAAUG